AGGGGGGGGGCUACGUAGUGCUGUACUGCGAGUCGAGCGGACAGAUGGGAACUUGCUCCCUGAUGUUAGCGGCGGACGGGUGAGUAACACGUGGGUAACCUGCCUGUAAGACUGGGAUAACUCCGGGAAACCGGGGCUAAUACCGGAUGGUUGUUUGAACCGCAUGGUUCAGACAUAAAAGGUGGCUUCGGCUACCACUUACAGAUGGACCCGCGGCGCAUUAGCUAGUUGGUGAGGUAACGGCUCACCAAGGCGACGAUGCGUAGCCGACCUGAGAGGGUGAUCGGCCACACUGGGACUGAGACACGGCCCAGACUCCUACGGGAGGCAGCAGUAGGGAAUCUUCCGCAAUGGACGAAAGUCUGACGGAGCAACGCCGCGUGAGUGAUGAAGGUUUUCGGAUCGUAAAGCUCUGUUGUUAGGGAAGAACAAGUGCCGUUCAAAUAGGGCGGCACCUUGACGGUACCUAACCAGAAAGCCACGGCUAACUACGUGCCAGCAGCCGCGGUAAUACGUAGGUGGCAAGCGUUGUCCGGAAUUAUUGGGCGUAAAGGGCUCGCAGGCGGUUUCUUAAGUCUGAUGUGAAAGCCCCCGGCUCAACCGGGGAGGGUCAUUGGAAACUGGGGAACUUGAGUGCAGAAGAGGAGAGUGGAAUUCCACGUGUAGCGGUGAAAUGCGUAGAGAUGUGGAGGAACACCAGUGGCGAAGGCGACUCUCUGGUCUGUAACUGACGCUGAGGAGCGAAAGCGUGGGGGAGCGAACAGGAUUAGAUACCCUGGUAGUCCACGCCGUAAACGAUGAGUGCUAAGUGUUAGGGGGUUUUCCGCCCCUUUAAUGCUGCAGUCUAACUCAUUUAAUCACUUCCGCCUGGGGGAGUUAUUGUCGC
This 886-nucleotide ribosomal RNA is filed under the name Bacillus siamensis. Its description in RNAcentral is "bacterial SSU rRNA". It matches the Rfam family "Bacterial small subunit ribosomal RNA", at positions 26 to 889 of the family's 1533-position model. Lineage: Bacteria; Bacillati; Bacillota; Bacilli; Caryophanales; Bacillaceae. The record is from RNAcentral.